RNA transcript from Epinephelus lanceolatus (giant grouper), 1988 nucleotides. It is a transcript of the gene named zinc finger protein PLAGL2-like, with no coding region annotated. NCBI's taxonomy places the organism in Eukaryota, Metazoa, Chordata, Actinopteri, Perciformes, Serranidae. The record is from RefSeq and is a predicted model, not a curated record.
AAACUCUGCACAGCGGGGCUCCCACACCCGGGAUCGAACCGGCAACCCUCUUGCUGUGAGCUAUACUUUUAAUGAAGCUGACAUGUCAUGACAGUCAAGCGCCCCCCCGGGAUUCCGGGAUUACGGCAGCCAAUCAGCGUUGAGCUGCAAGCAACAGGACCCAGCAAAAUACCGCUCCAGAUGAGAUUUCUCGUUCAGGUUCCAGCUCAUCACAACAUGAGCCUUUUUUUAGGAAGAACCCACCACACACAGGAGCACUCUUUCAACAGCCACGCUCAUUGCGGGGGAAGAAAUGCAGGAGGGGGCAGAAACGCCCCGAGAGAGCCCUACAACACACUCAAUCUAUCAAAGGUUUUUCCGUAACCUACGCCUUAAGGAGUUCUUCAAGAACCAUCGGGGGACCACUCUCCCUAUGUUAACAGCUCUACUAACACCCACGGGACGGGCCCCACCAGCGACACAGGGACUGUGAAGGACCAGGAAACCACCUCUAACUCCCCCACUAGAUUUCGUACUCAUUUUAGAGGUGUCUGGAGUCAGUAUGGGGUCUGAGAUGUCCCCGAGUUUUGUGUCCCUGUAUGUCGGACUGUUCGAACAGGAGGUGGUGUUGAAUCCCUCCAAGAAUCCGUUCCUGCCAUACAUCACCACAUACAAGAGGUACAUUGAUGACAUCUUCUUCAUCUGGACUUCUAAAGAAGACAAACUGAAAGACUUCUACAACUUCAUUAACACACAGAAUACACAUUUGAGGUUCACAGUGGCUCAUGACCCUUUUAAAAUGAACUUUUUGGACAUAUUGAUUGUUAACAACAGUGACGGCCUCAGCACUACUCUGUAUAGAAAACCUACUGAUAGAAAUUCACUGUUACAUGGACAGUCGUAGCACCCCACCCAUCUGAAAAGGAGCCUUCCUGUGGCCCAACUGAACCGCAUACGCCACAUAUGCAGCUCAGAUACUGACUUUGACAAACAAAAGGUGGAAAUUGAACACAGGUUUUUACAAAGAGGGUAUCGAAAAUUGUGGGUGACUCAAGCCUCUGCUCGUUUUUCUAACCUCACACAAACUGAGUGCCUGUACACAACCAGAACUAAAAAUGUUGACAAACGUAUCACUUGUUCUUUUCAAUAUUCCCCUCUGGCACAAGAUACGUCUUCUAUCAUCAACAAACAUUGGCAUGUGGUAGCCACUGACCCAGCUCUGAGAGGGCUCAUGGACAAUCCACCCUGCAUCGUCUACAAAAGACCUCCUAAUCUCAAGAACAUGUUAGUGAGAGCGGAUUGUCCCAGUCCCCCUCCCACCUUGACCUUUCUGGGCCCCGUGCCACCCGGCAACUAUAAGUGUGGCAACUGCCAACAAUGCAAUUUCACGAGGAAAACCAGCACCUUUCAUCACCCAUGCUCCGGCAAAAAGUUUUCUGUCAGAGGUUUCAUUUCCUGUAAGACUCAUAAUAUUAUCUACAUGCUCAAAUGUCCCUGUGGACUUGCCUGCAUAGGUAAGACCUCAGGAACCCUCAAAAACAGAAUAUCUGAACACAGAUGGCCAUCAGGAAUCACGACCAAAGGAGCCCUGUGGCCAAUCAUUUUAACCUCUUGAAUCACACUGUGGCCUCCCUGAGCUAUCUGGGGAUCGAACAUGUUCAACUUCCUAGGAGAGGCAGAGACAUUAAUAAUCUCCUUUUAAAAUGCAAACUUUUCUGGAUUUACACCCUGGACACUAUGUCACCUAGGGAUCUCAACGAGGAGAUGGACAUCCGACCUUUCCUGUAAUUCCUCUGACUGACAUUCUGUGGUUAUGCUCCUCUGAUUGCAUGUUUUUGCUACUUACUGCUUUCUAUAUGGUGUUUUGUUAUCUUUUGCACAUCACUGUACUUUGAGGUACCUCAGUAGUGUUCUGUCCUUUAUGAUGAAUUAUUGGCCUGAUGUUGUGUCAGACACUCUACCCCGUGUUGUUUAUCCAACACUGUAUGUGUUUUGUUGUUUGAGUGUGU